Molecule: small RNA, 81 nt
Filed under: Pedobacter terrae
Lineage: Bacteria; Pseudomonadati; Bacteroidota; Sphingobacteriia; Sphingobacteriales; Sphingobacteriaceae
Description: Flavo-1 RNA
Rfam family: Flavo-1 RNA
Source: RNAcentral
AAUUAGCCCUGAUUGCAGCAGAAAGCCCGCAAUCCCGGUUUUUCACCGGGAGAGGACUUGGAGCGUAAAGCAGGACUGAAG